RNAcentral lists this ribosomal RNA (487 nucleotides) under uncultured bacterium. RNAcentral's name for it is "partial 16S ribosomal RNA". It matches the Rfam family "Bacterial small subunit ribosomal RNA", at positions 899 to 1397 of the family's 1533-position model. The record is from RNAcentral.
ACUCAAAGGAAUUGACGGGGGCCCGCACAAGCAGCGGAGCGUGUGGUUUAAUUCGAGGCUACACGAAGAACCUUACCUGGAUUUGACAUGGACGUGGUAGGGAAGUGAAAGCGGACCGACCUUCGGGAGCGUCCACAGGUGCUGCAUGGCUGUCGUCAGCUCGUGCCGUGAGGUGUUAGGUUAAGUCCUGUAACGAGCGCAACCCUCGGGGUCAGUUACACGGUGUCUGGCCCGACCGCCCGCGAUAAGCCGGGAGGAAGGUGGGGAUGACGUCAAGUCAGCAUGGCCUUUAUAUCCAGGGCGACACACACGCUACAAUGGCCGGUACAAUGGGUGGCGAAGUGGUAACGCGGAGCUAAUCCUGGGAAAGCCGGUCUCAGUUCGGAUUGUGGGCUGCAACCCGCCCACAUGAAGUCGGAGUUGCUAGUAACCGCCGGUCAGCUAUACGGCGGUGAAUACGUUCCCGGGCCUUGCACACACCGCCCGU